Molecule: unclassified non-coding RNA, 324 nt
Organism: Neogale vison (American mink)
Lineage: Eukaryota; Metazoa; Chordata; Mammalia; Carnivora; Mustelidae
Gene: 7SK
Rfam family: 7SK RNA
About the family: 7SK was discovered as an abundant small nuclear RNA in the mid-70s but a possible function has only recently been suggested. Two independent studies have found that 7SK RNA binds the CDK9/cyclin T complex (known as elongation factor P-TEFb).
Source: Ensembl
AGAAGUCUGUGGGGGCAAUCUGGUUGAAACAUCUGUCACUGUAUUGAUCACCAGGGUUGAUUAGGCUGAUCUGGGUAGGUAGUCAGUUGUCAUCUUCCUCCAUCAUGGCUCUAUGUGUGUCUCUCUGUGCUCGAUCAAAAGUGAUGACCCUCCCCAAUAGAGGAGGACAAUUCUUCCAUCAAUGGUAUAGGAGAACCUAUGUUCCCCGGCUAAAAUCUCCAAACGAGCUCUCAAGAUCCAUUUGUAGGAAAAUGUAGGGUAGUCAAGCUUCCAAGACUCUAGACACAGCCAAGAAAAUGCUGCAUGUGGCAGUCUGCCUUUCUU